Molecule: non-coding RNA, 695 nt
Organism: Cinara cedri
Lineage: Eukaryota; Metazoa; Arthropoda; Insecta; Hemiptera; Aphididae
Source: the annotation of a GenBank genome assembly
CGUUUCGUCCGCUCGAUUUCCAACUGUCCCAACUCCAAGACGGCGACCGUCCACUGGAUUAGUACCGCGUUACUAAACGUUUCCCACGGAAAAAUGUCUCGCUCGAAAACGCCUGGAUUUCAUAACACGGAGAUCCGAUGGCUUUUUUUUCAAAUUCGGUUUGAUCAGUUGUUUUCAUUGUUCAAACGCGAUAAUCGCAUUUCAGGAGUAACGAUAAUUUCGAUAAUCGGGCAGACUGUUCGACUUUAGAGCCUCUCUCUUGUGUAAACUUCCAGUAUCUAGUUACAUUACUGUUUUAUCGAUUUUUUUUUUUUUUUUUUUUUUUUUUUUAUAUGCUUCUCGGUCCCGUUACGACGAUCUGAUCUCAUUGCCCGGGCGCUGCACUCACUGCACCCAUCAGGCUCGUCGAUUUUAAUACGAUUACGUCGUCGUUGACCGAAACUCAUUAGUCGAUAAAAAAAAAAAAAAAAAUGUUUUUUUCCGUACAAUGAUCCGUGACAAAACCCGAGUACAAUAAUUAUUAACGUGUAUUUAGUUUUAUUCGGGGAUUCGAUGGCUGGUUUAAAACGCGAACGAUUUUUCGAAAAUAUCUUUUCAAUUUUACCGACGACGACGAAAGUGGAACGGUUUGUUGUUUUAGGAUAAACGGAACUGCCGUAUGGUUAUUAUUCCUAUAAAAUCAAAAUAAAAAAAGA